Gorilla gorilla gorilla (western lowland gorilla) is the source of this 2616-nucleotide long non-coding RNA. RefSeq lists it as uncharacterized. The transcript is spliced from 2 exons. Lineage: Eukaryota; Metazoa; Chordata; Mammalia; Primates; Hominidae. The record is from RefSeq and is a predicted model, not a curated record.
GACUUCACAUCCUUUGACAUCAGCACAGCUUUGAAAGGGGGAUGGGAGAGCGAGCAGAAAGCAGAAAAACCAGCUUUGAACUAUGCAUGCAAGGCCUCUUUCAAGCCUCAAAUUCUAUAAGGACGGCUUGAGCCAGAGCAGUUCAGGAAACACUUGAGGAGCAGAGGCAGCAGGGCGCUGGACCAGACAGAGGACAGGAAUGCCCAAGAAGUGGUCUCUGUGUGCGGUAAUGAGCCGAGAUUACAGCUGGCAGCUGGAAACUAAACCCCCGUGGGUGCCACCCAGAGAGAGCUGAGACUGACCAUGGAGUAACGGCCAAGGUCAUGUGUGUAGCCCCGGGCCAUGGAGAGAGGGUACCCUGGAGGGGCUGGGCUCAGGCUGUCUGACAGGCAACGGGCUCCGCAGUGUUCCGAAGAGGGAGUGGCCCUGGUGGUACCUCUCUGUGGCUUAGAGGGGCUGAAGCUAGAACACCGCUGUGACUCUGGGACCGCUGGUUCCCUGAGGGCAAGGGCCACCUUGGGUCAUCGCUCUGAACACCUCCCCUUGCUCUGAGAAGCACAGAUGGCCAGUGUGAACUGCCUCAGCAAUCCAGGGACUGUGUCCUCUCAUCAAGAUAUCAUGGUGAAUCACGAGAAGACACAAAAAUCAAAACAUGCAAGAGAAGAAAAGACUAAUGAAAGCAGAGAUUCCCUGCGCGGCUCUUUCUAAGCCGACUAGAAGAGCAGCAGGCACUCCGAUAACUUCCGCACAGUCCAUUUUUAUUAUUCUUCAACUAACAGGCAAGAAGCCAAAGUUCCUGUAAAUAUAUGCAUAAUUCAUUUGUAAGCAGUUAAACCUCUACUUUUAUGGUAAAGCUUUCAAUUGUAUCAGAAAAUAGGCAGGGCGCAGUGGCUCAUGGCUGUAAUCCUAGCACUUUGGGAGGCGGAGGUGGGUGGAUCACUUGAGCCCAGGAGUUCGAGACCAGCCUGGGCAACAUGGUGGAACCCCGUCUCUACUAAAAAUACAAAAAUUAGCUGUGCGUGGUGGUGCGCACCUGUGGUCCCAGCUACUCGGAAGGCUGAGCUGGGAGGACUGCUUGAGCCUGGGAGGUCCAGGCUGCAGUGAGCUGACACUGUGUCACUGCACUCCAGCCUGGGUGACAGAGUGAAACCCUGUCUCAAAAGAGAAAAUAAACUGCUUUGAAUGAGGGUGAAGUAUUGUACUUGCAUGAGAGGAGAGCAAGAGAUAUAAAAUAUUUAACUGGUAUUCAAAAGCCAAUUUUAAACAAUUCAAGUAAAUUCUAACAGUAAUGUAAUGACUUCUUUUACAAAAGACCAAAUACUCAGCAACUCUUUUGCCCCAGGGUCUCUAGUUAGUUAGCCGAUAAUAAGUCCUACAUUAUUCUGCUAUAACUUUGACUUCUCCUAGUCUUUUCUUUUCUAAAAAUGGCCUCAAAAAACAAGUCCAUGAUUAAUUUACUCUUCCUAUAAGUAUCUUAAAAAAAAAAAAGGUCUCUAUUUAACAUUUAACACUUCUACCUUCUGGUCCAAAAAUGUUAAAUGAAGGCAUUAAUUCAGAAUAAUCUUACAAUGAACAGGUCUGAGGGCUAUAUUCAACCUCACUGUUAAAAAAAAAUAAAAAUAUGAAAUACCUUUUUCUACUUAUCAAAUAACUACAACUUUUACAUGAUCUCAGCAUUGGAGAGGUAUGAUGGACAGGCAUCUCACACACUCUGUAUGUGGUGCUACUCUCUGGAAAGUGUGUAGACAAUAUCUAUUAAGGGUUUUUGAAAGUGCCUGCUCUUUGAUCCAGUACCUCCUUCAUCAAGCUUAAGGAAAGGUUCAAAGAUGUGAACAACAAUGAUAACAAAAGAUUAACAGAACAGUAUCAUUUAUAAUAGCUGAAAAACUGGGGUAUCCACAGAAUGAAAUAAUAAACGGUUGCUAAAAAUCAUGCCUCUCGUUCCCACUAAUGUCAGAAACAAGACAAGUAUGCCUACUCUCACCACCACUAUGUAACAUUUUACUGAAAUUGUUUUACUGAAUUCAUUAGUCAACUGGAGAGAAAGACAUGUGAGUUUACAGUUAUAAACAGAGGUGAAAUUAAGUGCAGAUGCUCUAAUUAAUACCUGAAUAUUCAAAAGAAUCAACUGAAAAACUGAUGCAAACAAUCAGGUAAUUCAGUAAGGAAGCAGGUUAUGAAAGCAAGGCCCCCAAAUUUAAUAGCCUUCAUAUAAACAACUAAUAACUAGAAGACACAAUGGAAGAAAAGACUCCAUUUACAACAGCAAUGAUAAUGAUUAUCUAGGCAUUAGCUUAGUAAGAGACAUGCAAAACCUACAAGGGAAACUUAAAAACAGCCUUAAAGGACAUGAAAGUGGCCUUGGAAAAUAGUCAUAGCAUACUCUUAGAGGAGGCACACAUCACAAGAUGCCAGCCCUCCCUCAGAUAUUUGCAAAAUGUAACAGGAUCCCAAUAAAAAUGCCAACAGUAGCCAGGCAUGGUGGUGCGUGCCUAUAAUCCCAGCUACUUGGGAGGCUGAGGCAGGAGAAUCAUUUAAGCCCAGGAGUUCAAGACCAGCUUGGGCAACAUCGCAUGGAACUGUCUCUAAAAUAAAUAAAUAAAUAAAUAAAGUCAA